RNAcentral lists this ribosomal RNA (432 nucleotides) under uncultured bacterium. RNAcentral describes it as "bacterial SSU rRNA". It matches the Rfam family "Bacterial small subunit ribosomal RNA", at positions 343 to 792 of the family's 1533-position model. The record is from RNAcentral.
UGGAGGCAGCAGUGAGGAAUUUUGGGCAAUGGGCGAAAGCCUGACCCAGCAACGCCGCGUGGGUGAUGAAGGCCUUCGGGUCGUAAAGCCCUUUUUCAGGGGAAGAUAAUGACGGUACCCUGAGAAUAAGCCCCGGCUAACUACGUGCCAGCAGCCGCGGUAAUACGUAGGGGGCAAGCGUUGUCCGGAUUUAUUGGGCGUAAAGCGCGCGUAGGCGGCGCGGUAUGUCGUGCGUGAAAUCUCCCGGCUUAACUGGGAGGGGCCGUGCGAAACUGCCGGGCUUGAGGUCAGAAGGGGAAAGUGGAAUUCCGGGUGUAGUGGUGGAAUGCGUAGAUAUCCGGAGGAACACCAGCGGCGAAGGCGGCUUUCUGGUCUGAUACUGACGCUGAGGCGCGAAAGCGUGGGGAGCGAUCCGGAUUAGAUACCCUGGUA